This 497-nucleotide ribosomal RNA is filed under the name uncultured bacterium. RNAcentral's name for it is "partial 16S ribosomal RNA". It matches the Rfam family "Bacterial small subunit ribosomal RNA", at positions 28 to 507 of the family's 1533-position model. The record is from RNAcentral.
GAUGAACGCUGGCGGCGUGCCUAAUACAUGCAAGUCGAGCGAACAGACGAGGAGCUUGCUCCUUCGACGUUAGCGGCGGACGGGUGAGUAACACGUAGGUAACCUACCUAUAAGACUGGGGUAACUUCGGGAAACCGGAGCUAAUGCCGGAUAAUAUUUCGAACCGCAUGGUUCGAUAGUGAAAGAUGGCUUUGCUAUCACUUAUAGAUGGACCUGCGCCGUAUUAGCUAGUUGGUAAGGUAACGGCUUACCAAGGCAACGAUACGUAGCCGACCUGAGAGGGUGAUCGGCCACACUGGAACUGAGACACGGUCCAGACUCCUACGGGAGGCAGCAGUAGGGAAUCUUCCGCAAUGGGCGAAAGCCUGACGGAGCAACGCCGCGUGAGUGAUGAAGGUCUUCGGAUCGUAAAACUCUGUUAUUAGGGAAGAACAAACGUGUAAGUAACUGUGCACGUCUUGACGGUACCUAAUCAGAAAGCCACGGCUAACUACGUG